CAUGUCUAAGUAUAAGCAAUUAUACAGCGAAACUGCGAAUGGCUCAUUAAAUCAGUUAUCGUUUAUUUGAUAGUACCUUACUACAUGGAUAACCGUGGUAAUUCUAGAGCUAAUACAUGCUGAAAAUCCCGACUUCGGAAGGGAUGUAUUUAUUAGAUUAAAAACCAAUGCCCUUCGGGGCUCUCUGGUGAUUCAUAAUAACUUCUCGAAUCGCACGGCCUUGCGCCGGCGAUGGUUCAUUCAAAUUUCUGCCCUAUCAACUUUCGACGGCUGGGUCUUGGCCAGCCGUGGUGACAACGGGUAACGGAGGGUUAGGGCUCGACCCCGGAGAAGGAGCCUGAGAAACGGCUACUACAUCCAAGGAAGGCAGCAGGCGCGCAAAUUACCCAAUCCCGACACGGGGAGGUAGUGACAAUAAAUACUGAUACAGGGCUCUUUCGGGUCUUGUAAUCGGAAGAGUACAAUUUAAAUCCCUUAACGAGGAACAAU
RNAcentral lists this ribosomal RNA (489 nucleotides) under Arcopilus aureus. Its description in RNAcentral is "SSU rRNA". It matches the Rfam family "Eukaryotic small subunit ribosomal RNA", at positions 54 to 548 of the family's 1831-position model. The record is from RNAcentral. Lineage: Eukaryota; Fungi; Ascomycota; Sordariomycetes; Sordariales; Chaetomiaceae.